Molecule: signal recognition particle RNA, 99 nt
Filed under: Treponema sp.
Lineage: Bacteria; Pseudomonadati; Spirochaetota; Spirochaetia; Treponematales; Treponemataceae
Description: signal recognition particle sRNA small type
Rfam family: Bacterial small signal recognition particle RNA
About the family: The signal recognition particle (SRP) is a universally conserved ribonucleoprotein involved in the co-translational targeting of proteins to membranes.
Source: RNAcentral
AACCAGGACCCAUGCGGACAGACGCCGCCCAAUCCCGCCAGGCCCGGAAGGGAGCAACGGUAAGCGGAAGCCUGCCGCGCCGUGGUCAUCCUGGUUUCG